This 374-nucleotide ribosomal RNA is filed under the name uncultured organism. RNAcentral's name for it is "partial 16S ribosomal RNA". It matches the Rfam family "Bacterial small subunit ribosomal RNA", at positions 527 to 896 of the family's 1533-position model. The record is from RNAcentral.
GUAGGUGGCAAGCGUUGUCCGGAAUUAUUGGGCGUAAAGCGCGCGCAGGCGGGUCCUUUAAGUCUGAUGUGAAAGCCCACGGGCUCAACCGUGGAGGGUCAUUGGAAACUGGGGGACUUGAGUACAGAAGAGGAAAGCGGAAUUCCAAGUGUGGCGGCGAAAUGCGUAGAGAUUUGGAGGAACACCAGUGGCGAAGGCGGCUUUCUGGUCUGUAACUGACGCUGAGGCGCGAAAGCGUGGGGAGCAAACAGGAUUAGAUACCCUGGUAGUCCACGCCGUAAACGAUGAGUGCUAAGUGUUAGGGGGUUUCCGCCCCUUAGUGCUGCAGCUAACGCAUUAAGCACUCCGCCUGGGGAGUACGGCCGCAAAGGCUG